AGUCAUAUAAAAUUAAUUCAUUAAUAAAUGUAACUUAAGCGUAGCUUAGGUACGUUGGCUUAGUUACCCCAACGUAGUGUUAAGCUAACGGCCGUACGGGUAUCUUUUUUUCUUAUUGUUUCUUAUUGUAUCGUCGUUUAAGUCCUUUGUUGUAUCCGGCCGUAGGCCGGAUACAAAACAUAGCUUAACCGUAUAACUAGGUUACGUAUUUUCCAUAAAAAACGUGCAGUAGCUAAUAAUUAUUACGAUAGCGAAGCCAUUUAAAAGUAACGCAAGGCCCUUGGUUAAAUUUACCUUAAAAGUCGCUAGUUUCUUGAAGGAGAAUCUAACGAACUACUUCAGCGAGCUAGCGCUGUGAAUAAGUUCUUUUCCUUAAUGUUAGCUUAAGUUUGGCUUCCAUCCCCUUUAGUGUUCUUCUUCUUCCCCUAAAGGGGAACUUUAGUUCCCCUUUAGGGGAUGAACUAAAGGGGAAGAAGGUGGGAUGAACUAAAGGGGAAGACUUUGGGGUUCUUCCCCUAAAGGGGAACUUUAGUGUUCUUCUUCUUCUUCGUCUUCUUUAGUUCCCCUAAAGGGGAUGAACCAAAGUCUCUUCUUCUUCCCCUUUAGGGGACUCCGUCUUCUUUAGUUCCCCUAAAGGGGAUGAAGAAGUGCUCCCCUUCUUCCCCUUUAGUUCAUCCCCUUUAGUUCAUCCCCCUUUAGGGGAACUAAAGGGGAUGAACUANAGGGGUGAAAACGAAGGGGAAGAAGAAGGGGUUCCCCUAAAGGGGAAGAACACACCCCAAAGUCUCUUCUUCUUCCCCUAAAGGGGAAGAAGGGGUUCCCCUUUAGGGGAAGAACACACCCCAAAGUCUCUUCUUCUUCCCCUAAAGGGGACUCCGUCUUCUUUAGUUCCCCUAAAGGGGAUGAAGAAGUGCUCCCCUUCUUCCCCUUUAGGGGAAGAAGUGCUCCCCUUCUUCCCCUAAAGGGGACUCCGUCCCCUUUAGUUCCCCUAAAGGGGUGAAAACGAAGGGGAAGAAGAAGGGGUUCCCCUAAAGGGGAAGAACACACCCAAAGUCUCUUCUUCGUUUUCUUCGUCUUCUUUAGUUCCCCUAAAGGGGAUGAACCAAAGUCUCUUCUUCUUCAUCCCCUUUAGGGGAACUAAAGGGGACUCCGUCUUCUUUAGUUCCCCUAAAGGGGAUGAAGAAGUGCUCCCCUUCUUCCCCUUUAGUUCAUCCCCUUUAGUUCAUCCCCUUNNNNNNNNNNNNNNNNNNNNNNNNNNNNNNNNNNNNNNNNNNNNNNNNNNGAACUAAAGGGGAAGAAGUCCCCUUUAGGGGAAGAAGGGGUUCUUCCCCUAAAGGGGAACUAAAGGGGAAGAAGUCCCCUUUAGGGGAAGAAGGGGUUCUUCCCCUAAAGGGGAAC
This 1398-nucleotide long non-coding RNA is filed under the name Volvox carteri. RNAcentral's name for it is "long non-coding RNA (VCAR_LNC004356)". Lineage: Eukaryota; Viridiplantae; Chlorophyta; Chlorophyceae; Chlamydomonadales; Volvocaceae. The record is from RNAcentral.